RNAcentral lists this long non-coding RNA (1394 nucleotides) under Setaria viridis. RNAcentral's name for it is "long non-coding RNA (SVIR_LNC002935)". Lineage: Eukaryota; Viridiplantae; Streptophyta; Magnoliopsida; Poales; Poaceae. The record is from RNAcentral.
AGGAUGCCGUGAGGUGCAAAAAUAAGGUGAAGAGGCAAGAAGCAAACGAGCGAAGUUUAGCAGAUUCAACGGAAGGAAAAGCUCGAGCUCAAUAAGGAGGUAUUCGAGGGUAUCGGUUCGGCUUCGGCGGAGCUUGAGCUUACGUACACGACUUCAUGUUUAUAAAAUUGACCAAGCUAAGUUCCUGUGAAAUGAUGAUAUUGCUAUACAUUACACAGCCUGAGCUCAAGCCUUGCUCCAUGUUUUUUUUUCGAAACGAGGAGAGCUGCCAAUUAUAUUAAAAAGAAGAUGAUCUAGACUGGACAGAUACAAAGCACCAAGCGAUGCAAAAGUUCAAGAAAAAAAAGUAUACAAACGUAUAAGGUCCGAAGCGCGGAAAGAAUUAACAAUGGGCGAUUAAAAUAGAAAGGUGUUUUGCUCCGGCCAUAGUCCACAUCGCAGUCUCAUCUUUAACUUUGUGGAACAUCAUAUUAGUUGUAGAUUCCUUGCGCUCAAAAAUUCUCGAAUUUCUCUCUCUCCAAAUAAUCCAUGAAACAAGCAUGAUUAUGGGCCUUGCUCCAUGUUUUGAUUCCAACCUAGAAUUGCUUUGAAUUCCAACCAAGUGCAUGCGUGGUUCUCAGGCCUGGUUUGGUUUCUUUGCUUAUUUUAGCACCUGUUUAGAUACUAAUUAGAAGUAUUAAACGUAGACUAUUUACAAAACCCAUUACAUAAGCGGAGGCUAAACGGCGAGACGAAUCUAUUAAGACUAAUUAGUCCAUGAUUUGACAAUAUGUUGCUACAGUAAAUAUUUGCUAAUGAUGAAUUAAUUAGGCUUAAUUAAGCUUAAUAGAUUCGUCUCGCCGUUUAGCCUCCACUUAUGUAAUGAGUUUUGAAAAUAGACUACGUUUAAUACUCCUAAUUAGUAUCUAAACAUUCGAUGUGACACGUACUAAAAAUAAGCAAAAGUAACCAAACGGACCCUCAGUCCUUCCUUCCCCUCGGAGUCAUGAGAAAUAUUAACUCCCACAAAAACUGGAGUAUUGUUCGAAAUUCAAAUCAUCUAACCUAAUAACAAGGCUUGGCAAGAAUUUUUUUUUCCUUAAACCAUCUAUACUUAGACGUGGGAUGAAACCACUAUAAUUGCAAAAAGGGCUACUUUCAAACAGGAAAUUAUUUGCACGAAAACUCACUGAAGCCACUGACCAACUUCUAUUCUUCGUUCUUCUAACUUUUAAUACCACUCCCUCCAUUUUAAAAAAUAUGAUGUUUAGGACAAGCCAGUUAGCUGAAAAACAGAGGGAGUAGUAUUUAAGCUAAUACUCUAUAUUGCUAAGUUCCUUAUAAACUACUCCCUCCGUUCUUAAAUAUAUGACGCCGUUGACUUUUUACUCCAACUUUGACCACCAAUAUACGAG